RNAcentral lists this ribosomal RNA (644 nucleotides) under uncultured bacterium. RNAcentral's name for it is "bacterial SSU rRNA". It matches the Rfam family "Bacterial small subunit ribosomal RNA", at positions 109 to 749 of the family's 1533-position model. The record is from RNAcentral.
AGUAAUGUCUGGGAAACUGCCUGAUGGAGGGGGAUAACUACUGGAAACGGUAGCUAAUACCGCAUAACGUCGCAAGACCAAAGAGGGGGACCUUCGGGCCUCUUGCCAUCAGAUGUGCCCAGAUGGGAUUAGCUAGUAGGUGGGGUAACGGCUCACCUAGGCGACGAUCCCUAGCUGGUCUGAGAGGAUGACCAGCCACACUGGAACUGAGACACGGUCCAGACUCCUACGGGAGGCAGCAGUGGGGAAUAUUGCACAAUGGGCGCAAGCCUGAUGCAGCCAUGCCGCGUGUAUGAAGAAGGCCUUCGGGUUGUAAAGUACUUUCAGCGGGGAGGAAGGCGAUGAGGUUAAUAACCUCGUCGAUUGACGUUACCCGCAGAAGAAGCACCGGCUAACUCCGUGCCAGCAGCCGCGGUAAUACGGAGGGUGCAAGCGUUAAUCGGAAUUACUGGGCGUAAAGCGCACGCAGGCGGUCUGUCAAGUCGGAUGUGAAAUCCCCGGGCUCAACCUGGGAACUGCAUUCGAAACUGGCAGGCUAGAGUCUUGUAGAGGGGGGUAGAAUUCCAGGUGUAGCGGUGAAAUGCGUAGAGAUCUGGAGGAAUACCGGUGGCGAAGGCGGCCCCCUGGACAAAGACUGACGCUCA